CCUACGGGUGGCAGCAGUGGGGAAUAUUGCGCAAUGGGCGAAAGCCUGACGCAGCGACGCCGCGUGAGGGAUGAAGGUCUUCGGAUCGUAAACCUCUGUCAGCAGGGAAGAACGGUCACUUUGCUAAUCAGCAGUGAAUUGACGGUACCUGCAAAGGAAGCAUCGGCUCACUCCGUGCCAGCAGCCGCGGUAAUACGGAGGGUGCGAGCGUUAAUCGGAAUUACUGGGCGUAAAGCGCUCGUAGGCGGUAUGUCAAGUCAAGGGUGAAAUCCCCGCGCUCAACGUGGGAACUGCCUUGGAAACUGGCAAACUGGAGUGUGUGAGAGGAUAGUGGAAUUCCAGGUGUAGGAGUGAAAUCCGUAGAUAUCUGGAGGAACAUCAGUGGCGAAGGCGACUAGCUGGAACAUAACUGACGCUGAGGAGCGAAAGCGUGGGUAGCAAACAGGAUUAGAUACCCCUGUAGUC
RNAcentral lists this ribosomal RNA (465 nucleotides) under uncultured bacterium. Its description in RNAcentral is "partial 16S ribosomal RNA". It matches the Rfam family "Bacterial small subunit ribosomal RNA", at positions 338 to 795 of the family's 1533-position model. The record is from RNAcentral.